UAGAAGUUUUUAUUUUCACAUAUAUUGUAUGGUGCUUUUCUGUUAAAUUUCAAUAGAACAAAUACCAAUAAAACAAUAACAGUACUCUGUUUGAAAGUGAAAAUAUUCCUUUAUAAAUCUGGUACACAUUAAGUGCUUUCCUGGGUAUACCCUGAACCGUUGUUCUAAACUAUUGGGGAUGUAAUGGUAGCAAAUAGAGUUUUACUUGCACAUGGUGUGAAAAGUCAAAUUUCUAAUGACUUGUGACUCUUCAAUUACAAUACAAUACACAUGAUACUUUUAUUUCUAUUCUAAAGUAAUAUUAUACUAGAAAAUUGUAAAAAAAAAAAAACCACCUAAAAACAUCUUUGAAAUGUUAACUGCAUUUUUUUCUUAAUUGUAACAAUGAAUUGGACUGACAGCCUUGGGUUGUUGACACACAAUACCCACUCAAAAGUUGUGUUACAUAUCAUAUUGGGUAAGACACAUGUUAAGAGGAAUAAAUUAGCAUGUGUAAAAAAAAGUUAUAAUGUUAACUAUCUUCGUUUUCAGUAAAAAAUGCAAUGCUCAACCUUUUUUUAUAGAUUCAGUGCCAUAAAUUAUGAUGUUGUGCUAUUUAUAAUUUAAGAAACAUGUUUACAAUGUACAUUUGCAGGGUUUCCCCUGGGUCAAUAAUUUUUUUCGACACCUCUUUCGCCAAAACAAUAUAUUUUUCGCCACUUUAUUAUUUUUUUAGCCAUUUAACAUAAAUAUAUUUUUUGUUUCAAAUUUACCUUUUUUCUACACUUCCCUCCUUAAAUAAGAUAAUUUUGACCCAUUGUGUCUAUGAUUAUUCUCUCAAACUUAUUUUAGAGUCUACAUUGUAAUGAAUAAACACUAAAUAUUUACUAUAAAA
Molecule: long non-coding RNA, 874 nt
Filed under: Mytilus galloprovincialis (Mediterranean mussel)
Lineage: Eukaryota; Metazoa; Mollusca; Bivalvia; Mytilida; Mytilidae
Source: RNAcentral